This 549-nucleotide ribosomal RNA is filed under the name uncultured Glomus. Its description in RNAcentral is "SSU rRNA". It matches the Rfam family "Eukaryotic small subunit ribosomal RNA", at positions 548 to 1098 of the family's 1831-position model. Lineage: Eukaryota; Fungi; Glomeromycota; Glomeromycetes; Glomerales; Glomeraceae. The record is from RNAcentral.
UUGGAGGGCAAGUCUGGUGCCAGCAGCCGCGGUAAUUCCAGCUCCAAUAGCGCAUAUUAAAGUUGUUGCAGUUAAAAAGCUCGUAGUUGAACUUCGGGAUUAGCAAGUCGGUCGUGCCACUGGUACGUACUGGUCUUGCUGAUUCCUCCCUCUUGACGAGCCGUAAUGCCAUUAAUUUGGUGUUGCGGGGAAUCAGGACUGUUACUUUGAAAAAAUUAGAGUGUUUAAAGCAGGCAUGCGCUUGAAUACAUUAGCAUGGAAUAAUGAAAUAGGACGUUCGAUCUUAUUUCGUUGGUUUCUAGGAUUGACGUAAUGAUUAAUAGGGAUAGUUGGGGGCAUUAGUAUUCAAUUGUCAGAGGUGAAAUUCUUGGAUUUAUUGAAGACUAACUACUGCGAAAGCAUUUGCCAAGGAUGUUUUCAUUAAUCAAGAACGAAAGUUAGGGGAUCGAAGACGAUCAGAUACCGUCGUAGUCUUAACCAUAAACUAUGCCGACUAGGGAUCGGAUGAUGUUGAUUUUUUAAUGACUCAUUCGGCGCCUUACGGGAAAC